RNAcentral lists this ribosomal RNA (253 nucleotides) under uncultured bacterium. RNAcentral's name for it is "partial 16S ribosomal RNA". It matches the Rfam family "Bacterial small subunit ribosomal RNA", at positions 524 to 776 of the family's 1533-position model. The record is from RNAcentral.
UACGUAGGGUGCGAGCGUUGUCCGGAAUUAUUGGGCGUAAAGAGCUCGUAGGCGGUUUGUCGCGUCGGCCGUGAAAACUUGGGGCUUAACCCCGAGCCUGCGGUCGAUACGGGCAGACUUGAGUUCGGCAGGGGAGACUGGAAUUCCUGGUGUAGCGGUGAAAUGCGCAGAUAUCAGGAGGAACACCAGUGGCGAAGGCGGUGCUCUGGGCCGGAACUGACGCUGAUGAGCGAAAGCGUGGGGAGCAAACAGG